UAAUACGAAGGGCCCGAGCGUUGCGCGGAAUCAUUGGGCUUAAAGCGUACGUAGGCGGACAUUCAGGCACCUUAGUGAAAUCCCUCGGCUCAACCGAGGAAUUGCUUGGUGAACCGUUUGUCUUGAGACAAGUAGGGGCUGUCGGAACGAUAGGUGGAGCGGUGAAAUGCGUUGAUAUCUAUCGGAACGCCAAAGGUGAAGACAGGCAGCUGGGCUUGUUCUGACGCUGAGGUACGAAAGCGUGGGGAGCGAACGGGAUUAGAUACCCCGGUAGUCCACGCUGUAAACGAUGUGCACUAGAUCGAGGGGGUUUUGACGCAACUCUCGGUCGAAGCAAAAGUGUUAAGUGCACCGCCUGGGGAGUACGGUCGCAAGGCUA
Molecule: ribosomal RNA, 379 nt
Filed under: uncultured bacterium
Lineage: Bacteria
Description: bacterial SSU rRNA
Rfam family: Bacterial small subunit ribosomal RNA
Source: RNAcentral